Molecule: long non-coding RNA, 2445 nt
Organism: Nylanderia fulva
Lineage: Eukaryota; Metazoa; Arthropoda; Insecta; Hymenoptera; Formicidae
Source: RefSeq, a predicted model, not a curated record
CCAAGUCUAGUGCCGACCAGCGCCGCGACGCCUCGCAAUCCUCUCUCUCCCUGUCUCUUCUCUCUCGUCUUCUCUUCUCUUCUAUUCUCUUCUCUUCUCUUCUAUUCUAUUCUGUCCUGCCGCCCUUCGUACAUAUUCCAACGACAGGGCUCUCUCUGUUGUUUGACGAGCGCGGCUCGAUCUGGGAUCGUCUCGAAUCUCGGCACCCGGUAAUAACGCAACCGAUUGGAUCAGCUUAAGGGUGAGAGACGCGGUCACGUAACGAGUGAGCAGUGUGAGUCCGUGAGUCGAUGGACCAAUCGCCUCGCUCUCGCGGAAGGGCCGCAAUCGCCAUCUCCGUGUCGUCGUUCAGCGCGAUCCUUUCGCGGCGACGGUGAAGUGUGAAAGUAUCUUUGCGAUGAUACUGGCCAUGACAGUGAAGGAUGGGAUUCUCUUUCGUCUUUGUUUCAUACCGAAAGUGCACGUACGUAUCGUGCAAGGAGAGAGAGAGAGUAACGGUCCUCUCUCGUUCGUUGACGAUGCAGUCGGCGUUCUUGCGGCGGCUCUUCUUUCGUAUUCAAAUUCGUUUCGGCGAGGCUCGCAGCGGGAUGCGAAAUAGAUUUUUCGGAAAUGCUGAUAUUUUCCAUUUCUUUUAUAAUGGUGAAUAACGGGCGUGUCGUUUAUAUUUAUUGUCGUUCAUCUUUUCACUGAGAUCCGUAGUUAUUUUUUAUUCCCCAGAUAUGUUUCUUGUUAAUUAAUUAUGAAGUAACUCAUUAUAUUAUGCGAUAAUAAUAAUUAUACGAUUAUAAUAAUUUAUAUUAAUGUUAGAAUAUUUUUAUGAUAUUCCAUCUUUUAUAACGGUGAAUAACGGGCGUGUCGUUUAUAUUUACGUCAUUCAUUUUUUUUUCACUGAGAUCCGCAGUUAUUCUAUACCCCAGAUAUGUUUCUUGUUAAUUAAUUAUGAAGUAACUCAUUACAUUAUGCGAUAAUAAUAAUUAUACGAUUAUAAUAAUUUAUAUUAAUGUUAGAAUAUUUUUAUGAUAUUCAAGUACAAUUUAAAACAUUAUGCGAGAAAGAGAGGGAGAGAGAGAGAAGCACGCGAGUACAAUCUGUCAGAGGAAAUUGUAGUAGCGAAGAGAGCGUUUAACAUGGUGUUAAUUAAUCUUCAUCUCGAUAUAACGUGAUUAAAUGUAGACUGCUUUUUCCAGUGGUUUAGCUCCGCCUCGAACUACGCAUUUUUUCCCAUGUGGAUCGCGAUUUUACUAUUUUAUGCCUUCCUAGAUUGCAAUCUACGCUAAUUUAUGUGUAACCGAACGAAGACUCUCAUCAUAAACAGUAAGAGGCAAUGAUUUUGUUUGCUGUAAAAUAGCCGAUCGCAAUCGCAGGAACGGCAAUAAGAAGUCAGCGUGGAAGUAGGUGUGUUUAGAACUAUGCAGGAUUCGGCCAAUAUCGUUCGCCAGGUUCUUCGUGGAUCGCGACGCGUCACGUGUCUUACGACCUUGACUUCCCGUGGCAUCGGAGCGCUAAGAGGUUUACCUUGGUAAACCCUAGUAUCCCGGGAUACCACUCGGGGUCUCGGUCGAGGGAUUAAGACGGGGUUGUUGAACAGGACGACACGGGAGGGACGGCGGAUGGGAAGAAACAGAGUGAGAGUGAGAAUGAGAAAGGGAAAGAGGCGACUACAGUAAUCGUACGCCCGUAUAAUUGAUUGAGUCUAAUGAGUUAAAGCGGAUGCUACGGUAUCGAUGGCGAAAAUUAAAGAGUGGGUCGUGAGAAAAGGCGGCGAUAAUCUCGGGGACGGAGAAAGUAUACGGAACUUGGAUGCCCUUGUCCUUCUCAGCUCCGCUUCUCUCUUUCGCGCCCGUCCACGUCUCGACCGGCCUGGGAGGAAAACGCUGAUUGUAAAUUAGUUAAAGGAGAUGCUUCAUUAGGCAGCGCUGCCUUGGUUCUUGAAGCCGCAGUCUCCUCGCGUUUAACUGUUUUUAAAGGGACGAACGGCAUAAUAACUAGUAGCGCGCAGGCUGAUCGAUAUAUAAGUUAAGUAUAUAAUUAUCAUAUAAUUAUAAAUGUUUGAAAAAAACGUGCGUUUUUCAUCGGCAACAUGAUUUAUCGUAUCAAUCACGAUUAUAGGUCUCUUUAUUUAUUGAUUUUUAUCUUCUUAUUUUUUUUUUGAGAUAAAAUUAUGGCGAGAAACAAAGUAUAAAUAAUAGGCCAAUGGAAUGCAUACGCGUGCUUUUUUUAUUCGAUGAUUUUGUUAUUAUUGCAAUAUUGCGAUACAUAACUAAAUAUUUUUAUUAAAACUAUCCUUUAAGCUAAUGUCAUUCUUAUCUUAUGUUAAUAUCCACGUUCCCUAAGCAAAAUACAAUAUACUUGAAGAUAUUUUCCUCCCCGUCCUGUUGCUCCAGGCACAUAUAAUUAUUCAAUGAUUGAGAGAAAUAGGCAAAUAUAUGACAUAUAAGAUACUUA